This is an RNA transcript of Olea europaea var. sylvestris, 1412 nucleotides long. It is a transcript of the gene named chaperone protein dnaJ C76, chloroplastic-like, with no coding region annotated. NCBI's taxonomy places the organism in Eukaryota, Viridiplantae, Streptophyta, Magnoliopsida, Lamiales, Oleaceae. The record is from RefSeq and is a predicted model, not a curated record. The transcript has 10 exons.
UCUUGGUAAACAAAUGGUCCGUAUUUCGCCAACUCAGCAUUUUCCCAUUUUCAUUUUUCUACUCUUAAUUUUCUCCCCCCUUAUAAAUCAAGAAACUUCCAUUAAUUAAACACAGAAAAUAUCGGCAAUUAUUUCCAAUUCUUGAACCAGUUUUAGUUUUGAUUCUUUUUGGUGAUGGCUCAAUUGCUGUCACCAGUGUGUACAAAUACUCUCAAAUUUAAGUUUCCUGUACAGGGUUUCAGUUCAAGAAAUAGACUGCCCUUGUUUCGUGUGAAUUGGAGUAAUCAUGGUAGAAGAAAAAAAUUGGGCCGAGUCAGAGUUGCUUCCCAGUACUCAGAAUCAUAUGAAGAGAUUGCUGAUGAUUAUUAUUCUGUUUUGGGUCUGCUUCCAGAUGCCUCACCAGAGCAGAUUAAGAAAGCAUAUUAUAAUUGCAUGAAAGCUUGCCAUCCCGACCUGAGUGGCAAUAAUCCAGAGACCACUAAUUUCUGCAUGUUUAUUAAUGAGGUUUAUACGGUUCUCAGUGAUCCUGUUCAGCGAAUGAUUUAUGAUGAAAUACACGGGUAUGCUUUGACAGCAAUCAACCCUUUUUUGGAUGAUUCCAUCCCGAAGGAUCAUGUAUUCGUUGACGAGUUUAGCUGCAUAGGCUGCAAGAAUUGUGCCAAUGUUUGCCCAAAUGUUUUUGCCAUCGAGGAAGACUUUGGCAGAGCCAGAGUUUAUAGCCAGUUGGGAAACCUCGAAUCAGUCCAAGAUGCAGUUGAUAGCUGUCCAGUUGAUUGCAUUCAUUGGACUUCUGCUCCUCAGCUUUCAUUGCUUGAAGAUGAAAUGCGAAGAGUGGAACGAGUUAAUGUUGCAUUGAUGCUCUCAGGGAUGGGCUCAGCAUCCAUGGAUGUCUUCCGCCUGGCCGAUGAUAAAAUGUUUCAGCUGGCACGGUCACGGACUGGCAACCCUCUUUUACGCUGGGCUCAUAGGCAAGUUCUAGAUGGGAAAAAAGACAAAGCAAAGUCUUGCGACAAGCUAAAGUGAGGAUGAUGAAGCAGAAAGGUUCUGAUAAAAACAAAUCAUAUUGGAGCAACCUUUCGGGCAAUGUGAAAGACUAUGAAAAUACCGAGGAAGAAAAGAAAGAGAGGGCACAACGAGCUGCAGCUGCUGCUCGAAGAUGGAGAGAGUAUUCGAGAAGGGGUGCAGACAAACCCCCAACCUACAAACUUCCCGAGGCAGUCUCUAACAAGGACAAGUGAACAAAUAUUUGCAAUAUACAUGUAAAUAUAAUUUGUUGAAGACGUGAUAAGUGCAUUCUUACAAUAUGUAUUACAUCUAAAUUUGUAUAAAAGCUACCAAAUGUGUAAUUUGGACCGUUCAAAACUGAACAAGAUUAAUGAAACACAAGAAAGGAAUAUUCUAGUGAAGAAAAA